GGGCGCCCGGCAGCAGCAGCGCCUCAGACCCGCCACCCAUCGCUGGAUGUUCCUCCACUUUACCCACCGUAUCAAACAACUUUUACCAGUAAAUAUCGGUUUAUUCCUGAAACCAGAAGCCCUAAACAUACCUUUGUUUAUAAGGUCAGUUGGCAUUUUGUCUCUCUCAUUCCCCACUCCCCCCAGUACAACCCAGCAGGUGGCUGAAAGGUACCGAGUUCUCUUUCUAGUUUUCCUGCUCUGCAUCUCUGGGAACUGGAGCCCGCAGGACCUAGAGCCUUCUAUUGGUAAUGUAGAUCCGAGUUUACAAAUUAUUCUUUUACCAUUUUAAAUCCUGCUUUUAAGGACAGAGGUCUUCCCACCUGCCCACCACGGGAGCUGGUAGAAACCCCUAAAUUGCUCCUCCUCUCUGAAGCCUGCGGGUAGGUCUCUCACUAGCAUCUUCAGCCUUGGGGCUGAGAAAAUAAUUUAUCCCAAAUUAUACACUAAAAACUGCCAUUUCUGGCUUAUGUGAGCAGGACUGGGGGAGGGAAGGGCGGGAAAGGAGUUUGAAACUUACUUUUCUCCCCCUUUUUCCUAGAAAGCAGAUGUGACAUGGGGAGGAGGGAGAGAAUGUGAAUGUGGCCCUUCCUAAACUCAUUGUAAACUCCUCCUCCGAGGCUGGGAAAAAGGGCAAGUAAAACAUCUGAUCCUUAAAAGGACAUCACUGGGUGUCUGAGACCCCAAAAGCAGCUGGCGAAUUUUAAGGACUCAAAUUGCUUUUGGUUUAUCCCGAGACAAAUUGACUUGGGAGUGUUGAAGCCUCCUUUCUCCCCUUAAGUAUUUGCCACCCAAACACUGCACAUUUUGUUAAUGCCCCGGAAACAGAAAACCUGAUGAGGGAUAGAAAAUGAGUUGACUGCACAGUCCCGGCCAAUUUUUUUUCUCCCAAGUAAACAAAAUGCAAAAAAAAUUUUUAAAAAAACCAAACCAAAGCCCUUCCCCCAAAAAAGACCUCCUCAAAAAGCAAGUCAAAGAGGAUCUCAAAUGCCCAGUCUGGUUUUAUUGUACAUUGUUGACAAGGGUGUUUUUGGUAUAGCUGCAGCCCUACAAUGUCCCUUUAAGGAGCACUGUGGCUCUUUUCCUCCUCACGAACCCCAAGCUGAGGGUUUUGCCAUUCCUGAGAGCAGAUCGAAGCUCCUGCAACCUUAGUUGGAAUCCAGAAUGAGGGGAGCCCUUCCAGCUGUGCACUUUGAGCUGAAAACUACCUUUCCUCCCCUUUUGCAGCCUGGGUGGUUCUGAUUGCUGGCAGUUCUGUAAUACAACCUUAAUCUGAGCAGUUGAGGCUGGUCCUACCUUAUCUUCAGACGUCUUGCGGAGGACUCCUGUUACCAGUUUGGUACUCAAAAGCUACACCCCACGAUCAGAAGUCACUUUUUUGGUUUUUUUCCAAAGGCAGUGAUAGCUCACCCUCUCUAGCUCUAAUGGAAACCUGAUAAUUGCAAUGCAACUUUCUAAUAAAUUGUUCAUAUAUUCAUAAUUCCGUUGCAAUCCCAAAUUGGAGAAGAGAUCUGUUAAAGUGCACUGGUGUACCAAGCCUCAGAACCACUGCUUUCUCCAGCUCAUAGGAUGCUUUUCCAGACUGUGGAUACGUGUAUGUGUACUGCUGUGUUGAUAAGUAAAUGCCAACGAUGGAGUUCGUUGCUUUUAUACAUCCCAAAGAGAAGUUCUCCACCGUUCACUGUCUGUUUUCUGACCGAAAAGGCGUGUGUUUGUGAACAGUGUUCACGCCAGCUCUGCCAUCCCACCCUCACAUCAGCUCACACCAAGGCCAGGAUGGGAGGAGUUGCCUGCGUACCUUCCCCAAAACACCCCGGGCCGCAGUGGCAUCGUCAGGGAGCAGUUCAAACCUGUGUCCUUUGGGCUUUGUGUAAAGCAAAUGCAGAACAAGAAAAAUCGAGAUGUUAAAUCCAUUAGAAAACAAAUUCCUUAUUGUACAGUAGUAUGGAGAUCUCUAGUCAACCUGCCAUUAAUAAUAGAUUCUUAUUUUUUGAAUGAUCUAUUUAAAAGAACAGCAAGCAUUGUAUUUGCUAGUAAAUCUGAAGUGUUUACAUGGAAUUACUAAAUAAAUUAUUUGAUCUAAGAUGGCUCUUAUCAGUGCUGAUUUUUAAUAAUGGAAAUUCAGUUUGGCAGCUUCAGUUCGUGCUGUUCUUUAAAAUCUCACAAAGCAUGUUUUGUUAUUUUUUUCACUGCAUCCUUGUGGUUCAAAUUAGGUUCUGGGGAAGAGGCAAACCACACCUCUCCCUGCAAGGCCUGACAGGAGUGCUAGCUCGCAUUUUCCAACCCCUUCCAUGAGGCUUUCCCUUCGCAUCCCAAACAGCUGAGACAGAGCAGGAUGCUCUGAGCCCAAAUCCCUGCAGUUCUCACCAGGUCUGGGGCCUGGAGACACACAGGGUGGGGGUUUUUUAGCAGAAAGCUUUGGGAUAGAAGUAGGACAUCCUCCUGUGAGGUAAUGAGUUGUCACACUCAGUCCCAGUGCGGCUUGGUCCUGCUUCCUGCUGUUCCAAGGCUGCUGGAACAGGCUGCUCAGGGUCCAUGGAUCUGCAGGCAGUCACCAGAGGCUGGAGCAGAUGAGGGCUUUGGAUCAUCAGCAAGGCCAAAGGCAAAUUUAGGAGCUCUCACCCCUUCCAAGCCCCGCUUUCUGACAUGGGGGAGCUGCCUGUGCAGCCCCCAAAGCUCCCUGGAGCUCCAGGGCUUGAGGAUGCUGCCCUGCCCUGGGACUCCCACCCAGGGUGGAGGGGGUGCAGGUGGAGAGCAGCAGGAGGGAGAGGCUGGAUGCUCAAAUCCCUGCAGCAGGAGCAGCAGAAGAGCAGGCAG
Molecule: long non-coding RNA, 2856 nt
Organism: Ficedula albicollis (Collared flycatcher)
Lineage: Eukaryota; Metazoa; Chordata; Aves; Passeriformes; Muscicapidae
Exons: 3
Source: RefSeq, a predicted model, not a curated record